GAUGAACGCUAGCGGCAGGCCUAACACAUGCAAGUCGGAGGGGUAACAGAAAGCUUGCUUUUGCUGACGACCGGCGCACGGGUGCGUAACGCGUAUGCAACCUACCUCAUACUGGAGGAUAGCCCCUGGGAAACGGGGAUUAAUACUCCAUAGUAUCACAAUUUCGCAUGUUAUUGUGAUUAAAGUUUUUCGGUAUGAGAUGGGCAUGCGUCCCAUUAGCUUGUUGGUGAGGUAAUGGCUCACCAAGGCAACGAUGGGUAGGGGGCCUGAGAGGGUGGUCCCCCACACUGGUACUGAGACACGGACCAG
RNAcentral lists this ribosomal RNA (309 nucleotides) under uncultured bacterium. RNAcentral describes it as "bacterial SSU rRNA". It matches the Rfam family "Bacterial small subunit ribosomal RNA", at positions 28 to 334 of the family's 1533-position model. The record is from RNAcentral.